UACGAAGGGGGCUAGCGUUGCUCGGAAUCACUGGGCGUAAAGCGCACGUAGGCGGCUUUUUAAGUCAGGGGUGAAAUCCUGGAGCUCAACUCCAGAACUGCCUUUGAUACUGGGAAGCUUGAGUCCGGAAGAGGUGAGUGGAACUCCGAGUGUAGAGGUGAAAUUCGUAGAUAUUCGGAAGAACACCAGUGGCGAAGGCGGCUCACUGGUCCGGUACUGACGCUGAGGUGCGAAAGCGUGGGGAGCGAACAGG
RNAcentral lists this ribosomal RNA (253 nucleotides) under uncultured bacterium. Its description in RNAcentral is "partial 16S ribosomal RNA". It matches the Rfam family "Bacterial small subunit ribosomal RNA", at positions 524 to 776 of the family's 1533-position model. The record is from RNAcentral.